This 254-nucleotide ribosomal RNA is filed under the name uncultured bacterium. RNAcentral's name for it is "partial 16S ribosomal RNA". It matches the Rfam family "Bacterial small subunit ribosomal RNA", at positions 524 to 776 of the family's 1533-position model. The record is from RNAcentral.
GACGUAGGGCGCGAGCGUUGUCCGGAUUUAUUGGGCGUAAAGAGCUCGUAGGCGGUUCGGUAAGUCGGAUGUGAAAUCUCCACGCUCAACGUGGAGGGGCCAUUCGAUACUGCCGUGACUCGAGUCCGGUAGGGGAGUGUGGAAUUCCCGGUGUAGCGGUGAAAUGCGCAGAGAUCGGGAGGAACACCCGUAGCGAAGGCGGCACUCUGGGCCGGUACUGACGCUGAGGAGCGAAAGCGUGGGGAGCGAACAGG